GAUGAACGCUGGCGGCGUGCCUAAUACAUGCAAGUCGAGCGAACGGACGAGAAGCUUGCUCCUCUGAUGUUAGCGGCGGACGGGUGAGUAACACGUGGAUAACCUACCUAUAAGACUGGGAUAACUUCGGGAAACCGGAGCUAAUACCGGAUAAUAUUUUGAACCGCAUGGUUCAAAAGUGAAAGACGGUUUUGCUGUCACUUAUAGAUGGAUCCGCGCUGCAUUAGCUAGUUGGUAAGGUAACGGCUUACCAAGGCAACGAUGCAUAGCCGACCUGAGAGGGUGAUCGGCCACACUGGAACUGAGACACGGUCCAGACUCCUACGGGAGGCAGCAGUAGGGAAUCUUCCGCAAUGGGCGAAAGCCUGACGGAGCAACGCCGCGUGAGUGAUGAAGGUCUUCGGAUCGUAAAACUCUGUUAUUAGGGAAGAACAAAUGUGUAAGUAACUGUGCACAUCUUGACGGUACCUAAUCAGAAAGCCACGGCUAACUACGUG
This 497-nucleotide ribosomal RNA is filed under the name uncultured bacterium. RNAcentral's name for it is "partial 16S ribosomal RNA". It matches the Rfam family "Bacterial small subunit ribosomal RNA", at positions 28 to 507 of the family's 1533-position model. The record is from RNAcentral.